AGAGUUUGAUCCUGGCUCAGGAUAAAUGCUGGCGACGUGCUUUAUGCAUGCAAGUCGAAUGGCCUAACUUGUUAGGACCAUGGCGGACGGGUGAGUAAUACAUAGGAAUCUACCCUUUGGUGUGGAAUAACCCUCCGAAAGGAGGGGUAAUACCGCAUGAGGUCUACGGAUCAAAGAGCAUAACUGCUCGCCGGAGGAGGAGCCUAUGUCCUAUCAGCUUGUUGGUAAGGUAAAAGCUUACCAAGGCGAUGACGGGUAGGGGCGCUGAGAGGCGGUACCCCCACAAUAGCACUGGGACACGGGCUAUACACCUACGGGUGGCAGCAGCAGGGAAUAUUGCGCAAUGGGCGAAAGCCUGACGCAGCGACGUCGCGUGGAGGACGACGGCCUUAGGGUUGUAAACUUCUAAAUUUUGACAGCUAGUCAAAAGGAUUAAACACCGGCAAACUACGUGCCAGCAGCAGCGGUGAAACGUAGGGUGUUAGUAUUAUCCGGAUUUAUUGGGCGUAAAGAGUAUCGUAGGCGGUAAAGUAAGUAGUGAGUUAAAUCCUUCUGCUUAACGGAAGACCGGCUCAUUAGACUGCUUAACUAGAGAAUGCUAGGGGAUGCUGGAAUUCCUAAUGUAGGGGUGAAAUCCGUAGAUAUUAGGAAGAACGCCGAGGGCGAAGGCAGGCAUCUGGGGCACUUCUGACGCUGAUGAACGAAAGCUAGGGGAGCGAAAGGGAUUAGAGACCCCUGUAGUCCUAGCCGUAAACGAUCCUCGCUAGAUUCUGGUUUCGAUCGGAGUCGUAAGUUAACACGUUAAGCGAGGCGCCUGGGGAGUACGACCGCAAGGUUGAAACUCAAAGGAAUUGACGGGGACCCGCACAACCAGUGGAGCAUGUGGUUUAAUUCGAGACAAAGCGUUGGACCUUACCUGGGCUCGACAUGUUAGCUGCAAGUUCGCCGAAAAGCGGACCUCUUUCGAAGGUGCUAACAAAGUUGCUGCAUGGCUAUCGUCAGCUCGUACCGUGGGGUGUUCUCUUAAGUGAGAUAACGAGCGCAACCCUUGUCCUGUGUUGUAUAUCACAGGAGACUGCUCCCGAAUCUUCGGGGGAGGAAGGAGAGGACGACGUUAAGUCAGCACGGUGCUUAUGUCCAGGGCGACACACAUCCUACAAUCCCUAUAACAACGAGUUGCAAAGCCGCGAGGUGGAGCUAAUCUCUUAAAAAUAGGGUCAGUUCAGAUUGCAGGCUGAAAUUCGCCUGCAUGAAGUUGGAAUUGGUAGUAAUCGCAGAUCAGCAGACUGCGGUGAAUACGUUCUCGGGUCUUGUACACACCGCCCAUCAAGCGAAGAAAGCCGGUAGUACCCGAAUCUUGACUUUGUCGAGAGAAGGUAAGAUCGGUGAUCAGCACUAAGUUGUAACAAGGUA
RNAcentral lists this ribosomal RNA (1413 nucleotides) under metagenome. RNAcentral describes it as "bacterial SSU rRNA". It matches the Rfam family "Bacterial small subunit ribosomal RNA". The record is from RNAcentral.